Molecule: long non-coding RNA, 296 nt
Organism: Cydia strobilella
Lineage: Eukaryota; Metazoa; Arthropoda; Insecta; Lepidoptera; Tortricidae
Exons: 3
Source: RefSeq, a predicted model, not a curated record
CUCCAGAAAUAUUAUACGAAAGCCUCCAAAAACUGACAGAAUGGCGGGAGGCAGUUUCCUUCAGGGAGAUCUUGGAUUAUAUAAAGGCCAAUUACCCGGUUUCUCCGAACAUGUCGGAGUUAAAAUAUGAACUGUAUAAAAAACUGGAUAUAGCGCACAAAGCAGGUUUGGUCUGCGUGGACGAACAGGGAUUAUUUCGUCUCACCACGAACAUGGAACGGCUGCGCCAUGUCCCAAAGCCGGUGCUCAGUCUCUUUUGGGAGCUGUACUGCGACACAAUAGACCCUCUAACUUUA